Molecule: ribosomal RNA, 481 nt
Filed under: uncultured Hyphomicrobiales bacterium
Lineage: Bacteria; Pseudomonadati; Pseudomonadota; Alphaproteobacteria; Hyphomicrobiales
Description: bacterial SSU rRNA
Rfam family: Bacterial small subunit ribosomal RNA
Source: RNAcentral
ACGACUACAGAGAGUUUGAUCAUGGCUCAGAGCGAACGCUGGCGGCAGGCUUAACACAUGCAAGUCGAACGGGCACUUCGGUGCUAGUGGCAGACGGGUGAGUAACACGUGGGAACGUACCUUUCGGUUCGGAAUAAUUCAGGGAAACUUGGACUAAUACCGGAUAAGCCCUUCGGGGGAAAGAUUUAUCGCCGAUAGAUCGGCCCGCGUCUGAUUAGCUAGUUGGUGAGAUAAUGGCUCACCAAGGCGACGAUCAGUAGCUGGUCUGAGAGGAUGAUCAGCCACAUUGGGACUGAGACACGGCCCAAACUCCUACGGGAGGCAGCAGUGGGGAAUAUUGGACAAUGGGCGCAAGCCUGAUCCAGCCAUGCCGCGUGAGUGAUGAAGGCCUUAGGGUUGUAAAGCUCUUUUGUCCGGGAAGAUAAUGACUGUACCGGGAAGAAUAAGCCCCGGCUAACUUCGUGCCAGCCGCCGCGGUAAU